GACGAACGCUGGCGGCGUGCCUAAUACAUGCAAGUCGAACGCUUCUUUCCUCCCGAGUGCUUGCACUCAAUUGGAAAGAGGAGUGGCGGACGGGUGAGUAACACGUGGGUAACCUACCCAUCAGAGGGGGAUAACACUUGGAAACAGGUGCUAAUACCGCAUAACAGUUUAUGCCGCAUGGCAUAAGAGUGAAAGGCGCUUUCGGGUGUCGCUGAUGGAUGGACCCGCGGUGCAUUAGCUAGUUGGUGAGGUAACGGCUCACCAAGGCCACGAUGCAUAGCCGACCUGAGAGGGUGAUCGGCCACACUGGGACUGAGACACGGCCCAGACUCCUACGGGAGGCAGCAGUAGGGAAUCUUCGGCAAUGGACGAAAGUCUGACCGAGCAACGCCGCGUGAGUGAAGAAGGUUUUCGGAUCGUAAAACUCUGUUGUUAGAGAAGAACAAGGACGUUAGUAACUGAACGUCGCCUGACGGUAUCUAACCAGAAAGCCACGGCUAACUACGUG
This 508-nucleotide ribosomal RNA is filed under the name uncultured bacterium. Its description in RNAcentral is "partial 16S ribosomal RNA". It matches the Rfam family "Bacterial small subunit ribosomal RNA", at positions 28 to 507 of the family's 1533-position model. The record is from RNAcentral.